AUACGGAGGGUGCAAGCGUUGUUCGGAAUCACAGGGCGUAAAGGGCGCGCAGGCGGUUUGGUAAGUCAGAUGUGAAAGCCCACGGCUCAACCGUGGAAGUGCAUUUGAAACUGCCAGACUUGAGUACCAGAGGGGAAAGUGGAAUUCCCGGUGUAGAGGUGAAAUUCGUAGAUAUCGGGAGGAAUACCGGUGGCGAAGGCGACUUUCUGGCUGGAUACUGACGCUGAGGCGCGAAAGCGUGGGGAGCAAACAGGAUUAGAAACCCUAGUAGUCC
RNAcentral lists this ribosomal RNA (274 nucleotides) under uncultured bacterium. RNAcentral describes it as "partial 16S ribosomal RNA". It matches the Rfam family "Bacterial small subunit ribosomal RNA", at positions 523 to 796 of the family's 1533-position model. The record is from RNAcentral.